ACUCAAAGGAAUUGACGGGGGCCCGCACAAGCAGCGGAGCGUGUGGUUUAAUUCGAGGCUACCCGAAGAACCUUACCUGGGUUUGACAUGCGCGUAGUAGGGAACCGAAAGGGGACCGACCUUCGGGAGCGCGCACAGGUGCUGCAUGGCUGUCGUCAGCUCGUGUCGUGAGAUGUACGGUUAAGUCCGCAAACGAGCGCAACCCCUGGCAGUAGUUACAGGUGUCUACUGCGACUGCCCGUGAGAAACGGGAGGAAGGUGGGGAUGACGUCAAGUCAGCAUGGCCUUUAUAUCCAGGGCGACACACACGCUACAAUGGACGGUACAGAAGGGUGCGAAAGCGCGAGCUGGAGCCAAUCCGAGAAAGCCGUUCGUAGUUCGGAUUGCAGGCUGCAACCCGCCUGCAUGAAGUUGGAGUUGCUAGUAACCGCCGGUCAGCCAAACGGCGGUGAAUACGUUCCCGGGCCUUGUACACACCGCCCGU
This 484-nucleotide ribosomal RNA is filed under the name uncultured bacterium. Its description in RNAcentral is "partial 16S ribosomal RNA". It matches the Rfam family "Bacterial small subunit ribosomal RNA", at positions 899 to 1397 of the family's 1533-position model. The record is from RNAcentral.